CCACGUCCAGGGUGCCCUGGAAGUCCUCCUCGGUCUCGCCGGGGAAGCCGACGAUGAUGUCGGUGGUGAUCGCCGCGUCGGGCAUGGC
This 88-nucleotide transfer RNA is filed under the name Kutzneria sp. CA-103260. RNAcentral's name for it is "tRNA-Glu". Lineage: Bacteria; Bacillati; Actinomycetota; Actinomycetes; Pseudonocardiales; Pseudonocardiaceae. The record is from RNAcentral.